UGAAGUGAUUGUCUCUCUUCAUGAAGGAGA
Molecule: non-coding RNA, 30 nt
Filed under: Mus musculus (house mouse)
Lineage: Eukaryota; Metazoa; Chordata; Mammalia; Rodentia; Muridae
Source: RNAcentral